AGGCGCAAGAAAUCCAAAAAUGAAUGAAGGAGAAAGAAAAACGAUGGUGAGGAAGAGGAGAGAACGUGAAAAGAAUAAUGAGGGAAAAGAAACAAAAUAAAAUAAAUAAAUAUUAAAAUUUCAACAAAAAAAGCUAAAUAAAAAAUAAUUCCCUCAUAGCACACCUGAGGACUCGAACUUGGGACCUUAGGCUAAAGCAACACACAACCAACCACCAG
Molecule: long non-coding RNA, 218 nt
Filed under: Gossypium raimondii (Peruvian cotton)
Lineage: Eukaryota; Viridiplantae; Streptophyta; Magnoliopsida; Malvales; Malvaceae
Description: long non-coding RNA (GRAI_LNC004456)
Source: RNAcentral